RNAcentral lists this microRNA precursor (135 nucleotides) under Pelobates cultripes (western spadefoot toad). Lineage: Eukaryota; Metazoa; Chordata; Amphibia; Anura; Pelobatidae. The record is from RNAcentral.
UGACAGAGUUAGGGAGGGAGUGACUAGUGACAGAGGGAGGGAUGGGGUGACUAGUGACAGUCACCACCUCCCUCACUCUGUCACUAGUCACUCCCUCCCUCUGUCACUAGUCACUCUCUCCCUCAUUCUGUCACU